Molecule: ribosomal RNA, 421 nt
Filed under: uncultured bacterium
Lineage: Bacteria
Description: partial 16S ribosomal RNA
Rfam family: Bacterial small subunit ribosomal RNA
Source: RNAcentral
AUCUUCCACAAUGGACGAAAGUCCGAUGGAGCAACGCCGCGUGAGUGAAGAAGGAUUNNNGUUCGNACAACUCUGUUGCAAGGNAAGNACAAGUAGCGUAGUAACUGGCGCUACCUUGACGGUACCUUGUUAGAAAGCCACGGCUAACUACGUGCCAGCAGCCGCGGUAAUACGUAGGUGGCAAGCGUUGUCCGGAAUUAUUGGGCGUAAAGCGCGCGCAGGUGGUUCCUUAAGUCUGAUGUGAAAGCCCCCGGCUCAACCGGGGAGGGUCAUUGGAAACUGGGGAACUUGAGUGCAGAAGAGGAUAGUGGAAUUCCAAGUGUAGCGGUGAAAUGCGUAGAGAUUUGGAGGAACACCAGUGGCGAAGGCGACUGUCUGGUCUGUAACUGACACUGAGGCGCGAAAGCGUGGGGAGCAAACA